This 465-nucleotide ribosomal RNA is filed under the name Vreelandella stevensii. Its description in RNAcentral is "partial 16S ribosomal RNA". It matches the Rfam family "Bacterial small subunit ribosomal RNA", at positions 338 to 795 of the family's 1533-position model. Lineage: Bacteria; Pseudomonadati; Pseudomonadota; Gammaproteobacteria; Oceanospirillales; Halomonadaceae. The record is from RNAcentral.
CCUACGGGAGGCAGCAGUGGGGAAUAUUGGACAAUGGGGGCAACUCUGAUCCAGCCAUGCCGCGUGUGUGAAGAAGGCCCUCGGGUUGUAAAGCACUUUCAGUGAGGAAGAACGCCUGGUGGUUAAUACCCAUCAGGAAAGACAUCACUCACAGAAGAAGCACCGGCUAACUCCGUGCCAGCAGCCGCGGUAAUACGGAGGGUGCGAGCGUUAAUCGGAAUUACUGGGCGUAAAGCGCGCGUAGGUGGCUUGAUAAGCCGGUUGUGAAAGCCCCGGGCUCAACCUGGGAACGGCAUCCGGAACUGUCAAGCUAGAGUGCAGGAGAGGAAGGUAGAAUUCCCGGUGUAGCGGUGAAAUGCGUAGAGAUCGGGAGGAAUACCAGUGGCGAAGGCGGCCUUCUGGACUGACACUGACACUGAGGUGCGAAAGCGUGGGUAGCAAACAGGAUUAGAUACCCCAGUAGUC